This is a long non-coding RNA of Astatotilapia calliptera (eastern happy), 7899 nucleotides long. Lineage: Eukaryota; Metazoa; Chordata; Actinopteri; Cichliformes; Cichlidae. The record is from Ensembl.
GUCAAUAUCAAAUAAACUGAGAACUAAAAGGAAAUUCUCAAUCUCUCCUUGUUGUAUAGCUGAGCUUUUCAAACAGUUUUAACAGUUACUUUAGUCUGACAAAAGCCGAAUGAUGAAUUAGCGCUUCCAGUCAGAGACUGAGGCUAUGUCCACACGUACACGGGUAUUUUUGAAAACGGAGAUUUUCCCUUUUCGUUUUAAAAAAUAAUCCCGUUCACACGUAAAGGCAGAAAUGAAGGAAAACGCUGCUAUGAACAUGCCAAAGCAGCAGGUGGCGCUAGAUUCCUAACCGUGCAGAAAUGUUGGCCAAUCAGAAGUCUAGAAGCCUCGGUGGGAAAAAGUAAACAAAGCUGCGGCAUAGAAGCAGAACCGAGUCGUAUGUGUGGAGGGACAGUAACUGUGUGUAUAUGUAAGCAUUUAAACACUGCAGAGAGUAGAAUUAACAGUAACAGUAUUGUAGAAAUUCAUUUCACCGAAACAAUAACGCGGCGCACAGUGUGACGCAUGCACCAGUUUAUUGUAUUUCCAGACUUGCUUUCGGCACAAUUUACAGUGCACGCUACUCUGUUUUUUGUCAGACUUGAAAUAGCCGAAAUACCUUCAAACUACGGAAUUUCUAUGGCUCUUCCGUUCGACAAUCUCUCCGGCAUUGGAACCAUCAUCGGUUUUCUCUUCGGUCACGCUCGGUUGAUUUUUCUAGUCGGCACACUCAUUUCCUCCAUUACCCGCUGGCUGCUUCCCAAACAAACACACGUGCGGCUUGGCACUUGUGCUGUACGUAGCAAGUCACGCGACGUGACGCUGCGGCUGUGAUUGGUUCAGCUCUGCGCUACUGAAUUUGGGUCGGCUGACGUUUUUUUUUUUUUUUUUUUUUUUUUUUUAAAGAGGACAAGAGCGGCGAGGUCUAUCGCGAUAGCUUAAUUUCUCUAUCGAGUAAAAGUUAUAUCGCGAUACAUAUCGUUAUCGUUCUAUCGCCCAGCUCUAGUAGAAGUUGAAAAAAAGCAUCAGUUUCCCAAAUACAUUGUAUAUUAAUGUAUAUUAAAUGACUGAAACUGAUUAAACAGCUGACUUUGGUUAACAGAAAGAGCCUACAGUGUCAAUGCAACCAUUUUGUUUUAAGAAAGCUAUGAGCACUUGUAUACAUUGUUUUUGUCACUCAAAGUUAUUACUAGGGUUUAUGCUUAAGUUCUGCCCUGUUAUGUAACAUCCCUUAUUGCAUGGAUAAACACUUCCUAAAAAAAACCCAGCUUUGUUUUAAGAAGUGUUCAAAACAAAAGCUUGUAAUUAAAAAAGUGAGAGAAACUACACUCUGUAAGAUCACUUAUAUAUUUAAGUGAGUAAAUAGAAUAUGUUGUCCAACCUGAAUUCGUUGAGUCCCUCCACCAUUCGGCUGUAAGCCAGAGCCCUCUGGCUGGCAUCAGCUGACCGCCGACUCAUCUUCAUGGCCUUGAGAGCGACACAACACGCAUGCACUUUUAGAUAUUUGGCAACAAAGCUGUCAAACUAAAGAACUUGUAAAGGAGAAGACUGGCUAACACUGGAAAUCUACCAGAGCUCUUACAGUGCCAACAACAGACACCAGUAAACAGAACCGCAGAUAUAAAAAGGCAUGACUAUUGACCGGUCAAUCUGACAGCAGCUCUGCUCAUUACAGCAGCAAACAGUGCUGGUUUGUAUGUUUUGUUCCAUUCAUGUCAUUGUUAAUGCAUUAGAUUUUGCAGGAAAACUUAUCUCUACAUCAUCAUUCAGGGAGGUGGAUAGGAACUUAAAACUGCAAUAAAAAGUUGGCCUCAAAUGAAAUUCCAUCCCUUUAACUUACCUGCUCAAUUGCACUCUUUAGUUUGUUCAUGUGGCUUUCAAAGAGUGGAAAGUGAGAGAAGAAGAAAUCUUGGAAGCGGCUGUUUUCCUCAGCAUUGGGGGACAGCGUGAAGAUGACACCUAUGGCUAUCUUCUUCUUCCGAAUCACACCCAGACUUGGACCGCCGCUUUCAUCCGACAUGUUGAAGCUCUCCUCCACCGACCUAAGGAGGAUAGGAUUCGCAUGGAGUCAACUUUACAAUGUAUGUCUGCAUGCAUCUCACCAUCGGGGGAAGACGCCGUUUUCUAGGCUGGUUGUUUGACUGCGGAGCCAUCGGCGCUGGUAACUGGAUGCACAGCUGCUGGUCAAGGACGAGCUCGGGGAUGGGAAGGGAGUGAUCAACAGGCUGCUCAAGGAAGCUACAAUGAAAGAUAAGGAAAGGAGUAGGGAACAGACAGAGGGAAUGGUUGAGACAGAAGAGUAAAAAAGGCACAAAUUAGUCAGACAACAAGUGUGUAGAGUACUCAGUUUCAAUGAGACAUCAUACACAAAAACACAGCCAGACAGACUUGAAAACAGUGCUCUCAAUCUAAGAGAGAAGGAGAGAAAAAAAAAAGAAAAGAAAACUGGUACACCGAAAACAAACAAAUGAAUCCUCAAACAUUCAAUCUUUUUUCUUGGUUUCCACAAACGCAGACUGUAAUUACUGAAUACCUUUGAUAUGAGCGCUAAUGUCAGCAAGCUUGCUCAUAGUCACAUGCUGCAGUUGUUUGACAAACUGGCUUUACACCAAGCUUGGCAUGAUAAUGACACUGACACACACACACACACACACACACACACACACUCUCUCUCUCUCUACAGGCCUUGAUCACAGGGUUAUUUACAGCCCUGACAGGACGCACUGAUCACUGGUCACAUGAACCAUUUAGUUGGUGUGUGAUAUUGUGUGUUUGUUUUAAGAGAUAAAGAGAGAUAACUGAAUGAAUGUGUACAUCUUGUAAGGAGAAAACUGAUAAGAGUGUUGCAGCAGCAAAAAACCCUCUCCAGCCUAACCACAGUACAGAGGUGGAGAAAGUCAAAAAAAGACGCAGAGUUCUUAAAUUAGAAAAGCUAGUAUCGAGCGACGAUAUAUUUAACUCUCUGCUUAAACAUGGGUCUCGUGCUGAAUGUACAAUUCUCCUCGUACCAGUCAUUCCAAUAGGACGUGGUGAUGUUUGAAGGGGUGGGGCUAAAGGAGAGCCUGGGAGACAGGGGUCAGUUUCCACAGGACAAACUUUUCCAGACUUCAGAAGCUAUGUAUUCACCUCAACACCAUCUUCCACCAUGCUUUUAUUUCUUUCUGUGUGGUUUUAUGUAGAGUGUAAUGACCCAGUAUCUUCCUGACAUACUCUCAAUGUUCUCUGUUCCUUGACCUCUUUAGUCUUGAUCAGAUUAAAUGUAGGCGUAAUUCAAAACUCAGCUGUGGGACUGAAAGUGGUGUGAGUGUAGGUCAAUCCAGGCUUUGGUGCCUAGUCUCAUUAACGUACCAGACCUGGCGAUGCCACUGUCCCUCUCGUCGUACAGCCCUCGGCCAGGCAUGUCCAUAGGGUGACUGUGGCCUGGAGGAAAAACAGGAAAGAGAGAGAAAGGGAAAAGUUAAGGGUGAGAGUGGGUGAAGAGAAAGUAGGGCAGAAAAUAGAAAUAAGGGAGGAUAAUAAACAAAAAAAUAAAAAAUAAAAUAAUGACCUGUGUGAACAAGAAAAAUGUUAUUAACGAACUGGAGCACCAAACAUGUUGAAGAUGCUGUUAUCGCCACUAUGUUAGAGAUUUACAAUGUUGCAUUAUAAUACACAAGAUGCUAAUGCUUUUAGAUGUGUAACAUUAACUCUUGGACUAGCAACCACAAAGCAGAAGAGUUGUUUUUCUUGAUUAGAAUCAAAAUAAUGAGUGCAAUGAGCCAAUACAGCAGAGAUGGGGUUGAAAUAUCUUAAAAUAGCCAACGGAGCAGUACUCAGAACUCCAUAAAAAAGGCUUUAACCUCCAGCAGGUGCUGAACUACUCUCUGCUGGGGAGUGGGCGCUCCCGAUUGAUUCUCAUGUCAUUAGUUAGCAACCUUUGUUUUCCAACUCCAAAAACAGGAAGUGUCACAAGGAAGACAAAUAAGGUGAAAAGCACUACUGUUGUAAUAGACUGUUACUCAACAGCUCACUCGGUGUCACUAUCAACAUCAUCUGCUGCAGCGCCGACUUCCCUCUACAACAACCCCGUAACACAGAUAUCACAGAGUGUGUCUGCACUUAAUGUCAACAUACUGACGGAAAGAAAAUGGGAAACAUGGAGGUAGUGAUAACCACUACUGAAGUGUGGCAAAGGUAUUGAUUGCAAUGUAAAAUACAGUAAUGUUUGGAGAUUUGAUUUAGAUGGUUAUACAACUUUCAAUACAAUCAAGGAAGUAUCUGAUUGGUCCCAAACUUAAUCAGCAGCAUAUCAAAGAUUAACAAAGCCCCCAAACAAGACCUAUUCUGUGAGGAACAGCUUCAAGUUGCAUAUUAAGCGUGUGUGAUAGACACAGAUGGUAGAAAAUUCUUCAUUAUGGCUAUUUUACUUUGCACAACAGCCAGGAAGUGAGACUGUUGCUACAAUUUCAUUGGCGUAAAUGAGAAAAGAUUUUGAAAGGGGGAAAAAAGAACUUAAAAACAGCCCACUGCACAUCAAGCCUAAAAGCAUUGCCCAAGUAUGACAGGCACUGUCAAAGACAACAUGUUAGUAAAAGUAUGUGAGUACAUAACAGAAACAGGAGGACAUGAAACUGUAAAAAUAACUAAUACUACAGCCACCGACACCAGCGAACCCUCAUGCAUUCCUGUGUGUUAUCCACCUGCAGACAUGGGUCAGAUAAAGUAUAUACAUGAUUUGAGACAGCUUUAUGGCUAAUGAGUCAAGUUCUUGUUUGUGAGGCUGCAAAUGCCUGAAGGAAUACACAUUCCCUCCACCGUUUCCUAGUUUCCUUGUGGUUUAUGUGAAGAAGCAGAGAUGAAGCUUAAGGGCAUGAGGUGUCUUUGAGUAUGGCUCCAAGACACCUCAAUCCUCGUUUAAAGAACUGCCUUUUCAUUUACUCAGUGCCACUUGCCUUUAAAUUUUUUGCACGUCCUAUCUGACCCAAGUUAUUUGCAGAUGCUUAGUGCCAUUGCAAGCUAUGUCUCGAAUACUAUCACUGCUAAUGCAAGAAUCACUACCCAGGCAUGCAGUUGCUGAGAGGCAUCCAAUGCAACCACCGUUACUUAAACUUCAGUCUACAGAUACGCAUGCAACUGACACACAGCAAUCAUGGUCAGUUUUGAGCGCCAACCUGAAAAGAAAGAAGCGCUCUUGAUGAGGCGUAGCGGGCCCUGUUCAGAGAAGGCCCGUCGAGGGCUGCAGAGCUGAGAAAAUCCUGCGCAGCACAAACAAAAACAUGGAAAAGAAGAAAGGGAGGAAGGGAAGAAAAAAAAAAAAGGACAAAAAACACGAACCAUGAUUAGUGAAUGGAGGAGGAAAUAUCACUGCCUCCUAUUGUUUGAAAGUCUCAUUAGUUACAGGAAAUUUUUAGUUUGAAAUGAAAUAAACAACCAGGCAGACAAGAGAGGUGGCAUCGCUCACAGAAAAUGCACCAUAUACGUUUUUUUUUUUUUUAAAGCAGGUUUCGUAAUUGGUUAGAUUUUCAGCUUUGAUGUAUGUAACUAGAUGUCUUUUCUGUGAGGAUGACAGAGAAUCUGCACAAAUUAGAAACUUCGCCAACAGUUCUUCAUUUGAGCUUUUUAAAAAUCAGGCUUUUAUGCUCAUCUUUGUAGCAGAAGCAUUUCACAGCCUAAGCCUAAAUCAGUUGGCUGCACAGACAAUGUACUGACCAUCAAAAACCAACACUCAAAUUUCACCACCUGUAGCACAGUCGGUCAUCAUAAGGAUCAGUGAAGCACGAGAGCACAAAUACUAGAAUGCCUUAAGUGUUUCAUAGAAUGGCCGAUUCUGUUUACCAACUGAGAAAUCUUGCGCCAGUUUAGGGUAGACGUAGCUGUAAAGAAAAGCUGUUGGCAAAGAGCGCCCUGGGAGGCCGCAAUGGUGGAGCUUAAAGGUGAAAAACUUCAACUUCCGAUAAAAUAAAUAAGCAACAAAAUUCAACACUUUACAGAGUUGAGCCUUUCAAACAAAAUGCCAUGAAGGUAAAAUUAAAUAUGCAUUUGUAUAUAUUUAACAAGUCCAAAAAAUGAACAAAAACAAACACAUUACAUAAAGAUAUAGAGCAAUUUCUCUCUAUGAUUACAUUAAAGAAAAAGUGACUUGGUAAUCUACUCAUAAUUUGUACAGAGGAAGAGAAAUGAUCACACAUGGCACAAAAAUAAAAGGUUUGGCACGGCACUAGAUUGCCAUGGUUACCUAUGUUCCCUAGCAGACUGUUGGGCCCAGUGUUUUGAUCAGGCUUUAGGGUGUUGUUGUCCUGUCCAAUGAACUCCAGGCUGUCCUGCAACCUGUGUGGGACGAACAGAGAAAGCCAGCAGAACAUUUAUAAGGAUUGUUGCCAACAACACUUGUAUUGUGGAUUGGAGAAUACUGGCAUAUCUUGGUUUAUGACAGAGUUCUGCAUAGGAGUCACAGCGUGUGUUGAUAAGCUUGCAAAUGCUUACGUGUUCAGGCUGCCGUACACGCUGCCUCCGGUCCUGGCAGUGAAGACUUUACUCAGCAUCAGCUGAGGUGGUGAUCUGAUAUGAUGAUGGUGCAGGAACAAAGAUCAUUAGUAUAUGUGCUUUGUUCAUGUUUAUGGUUGUGUGUUUCUUCUUCUACCUAAUCAAUUCACAACUUAUUUUCUUCCUGGAUCCUAUUAUCACCUUCACUUGACCUUAAAACUGUUUGGUCUCAGAAAACGUAAGGAUCAGAUAUCCCAUAGUUUCAACAAGUUUCUAAAAGUCCCUUUGUUCAGAACUAGAAUAUUUAAUGUUUGCUUUUUUUUAAACUCAGGAAACAGCAGUGAGGAGAAAGUCAUUCAUGCAUUCCUUUUCUUUUUACCUUAUCUGGUGGAUUUUAAGUGUAGAGCCUUUGUAGCUCAUGGCCACAGAGCCAAACAUCAUUUCACCCAGCAUAACCACAUCUGAUGAACACCUUGAACCCUGGAAAGGAAAGAAAUAUUUUGAUAUUGUAACCUCUAGGCAUUAGACACCGACACAAUCACAUUGUGCAAAUUCUUAAGGCAUCAUAGCAGUUAUUCAUUUAGCACUUAAUAUAAACGGGGGAGAUUGCACACAAUUUACUUCAGCAGUUUGAUCUCAAAUGAUACCAGCAAAUCAAAACUUGUGACUGAAACAUGCAACAAACUUCAAACUAAAUUGAAGAGUGCUCCCCAAGGACCAUAAAGUAUACAAGCACAGUUUACAUUUGUGUGUUUAUGGAUAUGUCUUUGUAGAAGAGUACUUCAUUUAAACAAUCUCAGUCCUGCGUUACCUGGAAGCGGAGGCCUUGCUCCUUGGAUUCCUUGGUUUCCGAGGUGCAGGAAGAGGAGCUGUCCAGGGAACUGCUGCUGCCUCCUGUAGGACGAAGCUGGCAGCAUUUUCCAAACAUCUUCACCUGGGACUCGGCGCUCUGCAAGAUAAAAAAAAAAAUCAAAAUAUAGAAUAUUAUAGACCCAACUGCCAAGAAUGCAGACUUAUUUACCUCUACAAUUAGUUGUUGAUUUUUGUUUUGCAACUUUUCAUCCUUGUGACUACCGUAAUUGUCGGGCUAUAAGCCGCUACUUUUUGCACAAGCUUUGAACCCUGCGGCUUUUAGUCAGGUGCGGCUUUUCUAUAGAUUGUCCAUGAUUUUUGUGAUAUCGUAAGACGAUUUGUUUUGUUUGUUCCGCUGUUGUACGGCACUACGUUGCCUGGCGGAAGGAUCGGGGUUCAAGAGUGGUAUGUUGGUCACAUGUCCAUCCGCCAGGCAACAUAGUGCCGUACAAGUAGCGCGAAAAACAAACUUCAAAGUAGCGUUAUGCGUUCAGCGGGAGUCGUGGAUGACGAGCGGCGAUAAACUUGCGAAAAGCAAGUUGUGCUCAACUCUACCGGUGGAUUCUGACAGCGUGGAAAAGUGUGCAAACAUCCACGAUCACCAAC